CAGUCGAACGGACUCAUAUUGAAACCUAGUGAUUUAUGAGUUAGUGGCGGACGGGUGAGUAACGCGUGGAUAACCUGCCGUAUACCGGGGGAUAACACUUAGAAAUAGGUGCUAAUACCGCAUAAGCGCACGGCUCCGCAUGGGGCAGUGUGAAAAACUCCGGUGGUAUACGAUGGAUCCGCGUCUGAUUAGCUAGUUGGCGGGGUAACGGCCCACCAAGGCAGCGAUCAGUAGCCGGCCUGAGAGGGUGGACGGCCACAUUGGGACUGAGACACGGCCCAAACUCCUACGGGAGGCAGCAGUGGGGAAUAUUGCACAAUGGGGGAAACCCUGAUGCAGCGACGCCGCGUGAGUGAAGAAGUAUCUCGGUACGUAAAGCUCUAUCAGCAGGGAAGAAAAUGACGGUACCUGACUAAGAAGCCCCGGCUAACUACGUGCCAGCAGCCGCGGUAAUACGUAGGGGGCAAGCGUUAUCCGGAUUUACUGGGUGUAAAGGGAGCGUAGACGGCAGCACAAGUCUGGAGUGAAAUCCCGGGGCUUAACCCCGGAACUGCUUUGGAAACUGUGCGGCUGGAGUGCAGGAGGGGUAAGCGGAAUUCCUAGUGUAGCGGUGAAAUGCGUAGAUAUUAGGAGGAACACCGGUGGCGAAGGCGGCUUACUGGACUGUAACUGACGUUGAGGCUCGAAAGCGUGGGGAGCAAACAGGAUUAGAUACCCUGGUAGUCCACGCCGUAAACGAUGAUUACUAGGUGUCGGGGGACCAAGGUCCUCCGGUGCCGGCGCAAACGCAUUAAGUAAUCCACCU
This 805-nucleotide ribosomal RNA is filed under the name uncultured bacterium. RNAcentral's name for it is "bacterial SSU rRNA". It matches the Rfam family "Bacterial small subunit ribosomal RNA", at positions 59 to 874 of the family's 1533-position model. The record is from RNAcentral.